UGGCUGAUGAUGACUAGAAGACUGCACAAUCUGAGUUCUGGGAACCAGGUGAUGGAGCAAGGUGUACAACAGAUUGAGGCCA
Fukomys damarensis (Damara mole-rat) is the source of this 82-nucleotide non-coding RNA. NCBI's taxonomy places the organism in Eukaryota, Metazoa, Chordata, Mammalia, Rodentia, Bathyergidae. The record is from Ensembl.